This 346-nucleotide unclassified non-coding RNA is filed under the name Hevea brasiliensis (rubber tree). The record is from RNAcentral. Lineage: Eukaryota; Viridiplantae; Streptophyta; Magnoliopsida; Malpighiales; Euphorbiaceae.
AGGCUUAGUUGUUAUUGUUGUUGUUCUUGGGAUAGGUGUAGAGCAAGAGAAGAUGCUAGUUCAAUAUCCAUGACCAUGACUCUCUACAUAUCCAUAUUUCAUUGUUAUAGUGCCCCAAAUGAAUAAACGUUAACGAAAAAAAUGAGAAAAGGAAACCCAACACACUAAGAAAAGGGUGAUUUCAAUUGCAUACAAGAUAGCAAGGUCCAAUUCUUUAUAUUAUGAUAUAGUCUAACAUAAUGAGUUCGUUUAGUAGAGAUGACUCCCAUCAUUUCAAACGCAUAUUUUUAUAGGUUUCAUCUGUUAUCACCAAACACCACACCCCCCCACCCAUAACCCAACAAAU